This 465-nucleotide ribosomal RNA is filed under the name uncultured bacterium. RNAcentral describes it as "partial 16S ribosomal RNA". It matches the Rfam family "Bacterial small subunit ribosomal RNA", at positions 28 to 506 of the family's 1533-position model. The record is from RNAcentral.
GAUGAACGCUGGCGGCGUGCUUAACACAUGCAAGUCGAACGAUGAAGCCCAGCUUGCUGGGUGGAUUAGUGGCGAACGGGUGAGUAACACGUGAGUAACCUGCCCUUAACUCUGGGAUAAGCCUGGGAAACUGGGUCUAAUACCGGAUAGGAGCGUCCACCGCAUGGUGGGUGUUGGAAAGAUUUAUCGGUUUUGGAUGGACUCGCGGCCUAUCAGCUUGUUGGUGAGGUAAUGGCUCACCAAGGCGACGACGGGUAGCCGGCCUGAGAGGGUGACCGGCCACACUGGGACUGAGACACGGCCCAGACUCCUACGGGAGGCAGCAGUGGGGAAUAUUGCACAAGGGGCGCAAGCCUGAUGCAGCGACGCCGCGUGAGGGAUGACGGCCUUCGGGUUGUAAACCUCUUUCAGUAGGGAAGAAGCGAAAGUGACGGUACCUGCAGAAGAAGCACCGGCUAACUACGU